This 506-nucleotide ribosomal RNA is filed under the name uncultured bacterium. Its description in RNAcentral is "partial 16S ribosomal RNA". The record is from RNAcentral.
GGAGUUAGCCGGUGCUUCUUCUGUGAGUGAUGUCCUUCCUGCCGGUUAUUGACCCGCAGGCCUUCUUCCUCACUGAAAGUGCUUUACAACCCGAAGGCCUUCUUCACACACGCGGCAUGGCUGGAUCAGGGUUGCCCCCAUUGUCCAAUAUUCCCCACUGCUGCCUCCCGUAGGAGUCUGGGCCGUGUCUCAGUCCCAGUGUGGCUGAUCAUCCUCUCAGACCAGCUACGGAUCGUCGCCUUGGUGAGCCGUUACCUCACCAACCAGCUAAUCCGACAUAGGCUCAUCCGAUAGCGCGAGGCCCGAAGGUCCCCCGCUUUCCCCCGUAGGGCGUAUGCGGUAUUAGCCUGGGUUUCCCCAGGUUAUCCCCCACUACCGGGCAGAUUCCUAUGCAUUACUCACCCGUCCGCCGCUCGCCACCAGGGAGCAAGCUCCCCGUGCUGCCGCUCGACUUGCAUGUGUUAGGCCUGCCGCCACGCGUCAUCUGAGCAUAAUACAACUACUGA